UUACGGCCUUAUCACGUUGAAACACCGGUUCCCCUAAGAUCACCGAAGUUAAGCAACGACAAGACCAGUCAGUAGCUGGAUAGGUGACCGCUUGGGAAUACCAGGUACUGUAAG
Molecule: non-coding RNA, 114 nt
Organism: Acanthosepion pharaonis
Lineage: Eukaryota; Metazoa; Mollusca; Cephalopoda; Sepiida; Sepiidae
Source: the annotation of a GenBank genome assembly